GGACGAACCUCUGGAGAGACUCUUUAUGAGCGCCGAAGGGGAAAGCUGUUUACAGUGAAACUCUCAGGUACAAGGGACAGAGGCAGAUGC
This 90-nucleotide non-coding RNA is filed under the name Fusibacter sp. 3D3. Its description in RNAcentral is "Fusibacter sp. 3-D3-R-P8ASC2010 Glycine riboswitch aptamer". It matches the Rfam family "Glycine riboswitch aptamer". From Rfam's summary of the family: This family represents the bacterial glycine riboswitch. Glycine riboswitches usually consist of two metabolite-binding aptamers domains with similar structures in tandem. Lineage: Bacteria; Bacillati; Bacillota; Clostridia; Eubacteriales; Fusibacteraceae. RNAcentral also lists the same sequence under 1 other name. The record is from Rfam by way of RNAcentral.